UAUUAUCUCCUAUAUGUAACUUCCGGUGUGCUUUUGUAACAAUUCGGCUAUUAAUAUUGGAAGGCGCAGAGCAGCGUAUACCUGCAACCGACGAGCUUAAAACAGGGACAGGAGAAGCCAUUAAAACAGGAAACAAACAUGGUCUGACUGCUAAUAAAAGCAAGCAUCUACGUGGUUAGGAAGAUUCGGGCUUCCAUUGCUGAGGGAGAGCAAGUGGAAAAACCCAUUAUAACACCAUGUAGUGCUAUUGCUGAAAUGAGAGCGGGAUGUGUGUCGAGAGGAAAUGCUCCGGCGACCAUGCUGAACUCUGGACCUGAUGAGGGUGUCAGUAGAGCAGCAGGUUCGGGGACGUCCUCAGAGACAACUGUGCAGAAGUGUGGCUCCUGACGUUAAACAUCACCCUGGACGUGGAGACUGCGGUCACCUCAGCUGGAAAAUACCAUUUGUCGUCUUUGUAUUUUUGCAUCACAGUACAAUAAUACACUACUCUGCUGGAUGAUCUCAUGCAUACAUAGAACCAUCUACAUACAACGGUCAACAUCAAUUUUGUUAAAGCAAAAAGUUUAUGGAAUACAAUACAAAGAACAUUAUUUCACUUCUUUCAAGUGUCCAUGCUGUACUCAGUGGCCAAUGUCCAGCUCCUAGUGAUACACAUGUAGGCCUUUUUCAUCUGAGACAUUUUGACUUACCAUAGGGAAGAAAUUUAGAAAGUUUGCUUGUGAACUACACACAAUGUUAUAGGCACCUGAAGAUAACGGAGACAUUUACGUUAUUAAAUAUGCUUGGUUAGUCAACAUAUCAUCUGUGAGAAAGGUCUGUAUUUUUGUACUGCAGUGUUUGAAGGCCAACUCACCAACCUCUCUCCAGGGGCUGAGCAGGCUUGAUGUUUCUGCUGCUGUAUCAAUAAAAUAGAAGAAAUAAAACGCUA
Molecule: long non-coding RNA, 928 nt
Organism: Scatophagus argus
Lineage: Eukaryota; Metazoa; Chordata; Actinopteri; Scatophagidae
Exons: 3
Source: RefSeq, a predicted model, not a curated record